This is a long non-coding RNA of Camellia sinensis, 907 nucleotides long. RefSeq lists it as uncharacterized. NCBI's taxonomy places the organism in Eukaryota, Viridiplantae, Streptophyta, Magnoliopsida, Ericales, Theaceae. The record is from RefSeq and is a predicted model, not a curated record.
UAUUAAUUAUUCUUCUCAAUCCACACACUAAAUAUUUCAAUUAUACCCUUCACUCAUACCAUUAUACACACACCACCUCAACUCUCCUUCCGUACACUCAUUGAAAAUUAUAGAUCCAAACCAUCAUUCAUAAAACUCCCUUAUCUUGCCCCUUUAUUUACACAAUCUGUUACUCUACUCUCUUCACACUCUCUCACCUACUCUCAUUCAUGGCCUCUCUACAAACUCAUCCAAGUUAUCUUCAAUUUUGUCGCUGUUCUAGCUCUGCCCCCAAAAUUCCCUAUCUUCCAAACCCCAAUUCAAUUCCACUUUUCCAGAAUCUUUUAUUUGCUGGGAAAACUAGGGUAUUGAGUUCAAGUUUUGGAGGCAAAGAUGGAUUGUGCUCUAUCUGCUACUUUUGCAAGACAAACUUGAAGGAUUAGAAUGUUUUGCUUCAAAUUCAAGAGGAGACCGAGACCGAGAGGCCUUCUUUCAACAUCAAUCUCGCUGUCAUUCUUGCGGGUUUUGCUUUUGAAGCCUAUACAACCCCACUAAAUGGGAAAAACAAAGGAAACAGUGUUUACAAGAGAAGAGGUAGAGGAAGAGGACAAGAAAGUCCUAGAAUUCGUCACUGCCAGAGACAGAUUUCUUUGCAUUACGGAAAUUUGUGAAGAAUAGCAGAUGGGGACAGGAGUUGACUUGAAUUUUUUUGUAUUGAAAUUUUGUAAGUUUUUAUAUAAAUGCACACAGCUAUGCAUGUUGGAAAAAGCCUUGUUCUAAUUAAAUUUAUAUAAAAAUUGAAGUUGCCACCUUAUAUUCAAUUCACAUUGAUACACAAUCGAAUCACCUUUGUAAAUCCACUUGACUGGAACUCUCACAAUAUUAUUGUUCACAUUCUGCAUUUAAUAUUAAUAUCCUUUUUUUUUUC